CGGGUGAGUAACGCGUAGGAAUCUACCCAGUAGUGGGGGACAACAUGGUGAAAACCAUGCUAAUACCGCAUACGCCCUAAGGGGGAAAGCGGGGGACCUUCGGGCCUCGCGCUAUUGGAUGAGCCUGCGUCGGAUUAGCUUGUUGGUGAGGUAAAGGCUCACCAAGGCGACGAUCCGUAGCUGGUCUGAGAGGAUGAUCAGCCACACUGGAGCUGAGACACGGUCCAG
Molecule: ribosomal RNA, 228 nt
Filed under: uncultured bacterium
Lineage: Bacteria
Description: partial 16S ribosomal RNA
Rfam family: Bacterial small subunit ribosomal RNA
Source: RNAcentral